AAAUUGAAGAGUUUGAUCAUGGCUCAGAUUGAACGCUGGCGGCAGGCCUAAACACAUGCAAGUCGAACGGUAACAGGAAACAGCUUGCUGUUUCGCUGACGAGUGGCGGACGGGUGAGUAAUGUCUGGGAAACUGCCUGAUGGAGGGGGAUAACUACUGGAAACGGUAGCUAAUACCGCAUAACGUCGCAAGACCAAAGAGGGGGACCUUCGGGCCUCUUGCCAUCGGAUGUGCCCAGAUGGGAUUAGCUUGUUGGUGGGGUAACGGCUCACCAAGGCGACGAUCCCUAGCUGGUCUGAGAGGAUGACCAGCCACACUGGAACUGAGACACGGUCCAGACUCCUACGGGAGGCAGCAGUGGGGAAUAUUGCACAAUGGGCGCAAGCCUGAUGCAGCCAUGCCGCGUGUAUGAAGAAGGCCUUCGGGUUGUAAAGUACUUUCAGCGGGGAGGAAGGGAGUAAAGUUAAUACCUUUGCUCAUUGACGUUACCCGCAGAAGAAGCACCGGCUAACUCCGUGCCAGCAGCCGCGGUAAUACGGAGGGUGCAAGCGUUAAUCGGAAUUACUGGGCGUAAAGCGCACGCAGGCGGUUUGUUAAGUCAGAUGUGAAAUCCCCGGGCUCAACCUGGGAACUGCAUCUGAUACUGGCAAGCUUGAGUCUCGUAGAGGGGGGUAGAAUUCCAGGUGUAGCGGUGAAAUGCGUAGAGAUCUGGAGGAAUACCGGUGGCGAAGGCGGCCCCCUGGACGAAGACUGACGCUCAGGUGCGAAAGCGUGGGGAGCAAACAGGAUUAGAUACCCUGGUAGUCCACGCCGUAAACGAUGUCGACUUGGAGGUUGUGCCCUUGAGGCGUGGCUUCCGGAGCUAACGCGUUAAGUCGACCGCCUGGGGAGUACGGCCGCAAGGUUAAAACUCAAAUGAAUUGACGGGGGCCCGCACAAGCGGUGGAGCAUGUGGUUUAAUUCGAUGCAACGCGAAGAACCUUACCUGGUCUUGACAUCCACGGAAGUUUUCAGAGAUGAGAAUGUGCCUUCGGGAACCGUGAGACAGGUGCUGCAUGGCUGUCGUCAGCUCGUGUUGUGAAAUGUUGGGUUAAGUCCCGCAACGAGCGCAACCCUUAUCCUUUGUUGCCAGCGGUCCGGCCGGGAACUCAAAGGAGACUGCCAGUGAUAAACUGGAGGAAGGUGGGGAUGACGUCAAGUCAUCAUGGCCCUUACGACCAGGGCUACACACGUGCUACAAUGGCGCAUACAAAGAGAAGCGACCUCGCGAGAGCAAGCGGACCUCAUAAAGUGCGUCGUAGUCCGGAUUGGAGUCUGCAACUCGACUCCAUGAAGUCGGAAUCGCUAGUAAUCGUGGAUCAGAAUGCCACGGUGAAUACGUUCCCGGGCCUUGUACACACCGCCCGUCACACCAUGGGAGUGGGUUGCAAAAGAAGUAGGUAGCUUAACCUUCGGGAGGGCGCUUACCACUUUGUGAUUCAUGACUGGGGUGAAGUCGUAACAAGGUAACCGUAGGGGAACCUGCGGUUGGAUCACCUCCUUACCUUAAAGAAGC
RNAcentral lists this ribosomal RNA (1555 nucleotides) under Escherichia coli O104:H4 str. 2011C-3493. RNAcentral describes it as "bacterial SSU rRNA". It matches the Rfam family "Bacterial small subunit ribosomal RNA". Lineage: Bacteria; Pseudomonadati; Pseudomonadota; Gammaproteobacteria; Enterobacterales; Enterobacteriaceae. The record is from RNAcentral.